Molecule: ribosomal RNA, 465 nt
Filed under: Vreelandella stevensii
Lineage: Bacteria; Pseudomonadati; Pseudomonadota; Gammaproteobacteria; Oceanospirillales; Halomonadaceae
Description: partial 16S ribosomal RNA
Rfam family: Bacterial small subunit ribosomal RNA
Source: RNAcentral
CCUACGGGUGGCAGCAGUGGGGAAUAUUGGACAAUGGGCGAAAGCCUGAUCCAGCCAUGCCGCGUGUGUGAAGAAGGCCUUCGGGUUGUAAAGCACUUUCAGUGGGGAAGAAAGCCUUGGGGCUAAUACCCUCGAGGAAGGACAUCACCCACAGAAGAAGCACCGGCUAACUCCGUGCCAGCAGCCGCGGUAAUACGGAGGGUGCGAGCGUUAAUCGGAAUUACUGGGCGUAAAGCGCGCGUAGGCGGUCUGAUAAGCCGGUUGUGAAAGCCCCGGGCUCAACCUGGGAACGGCAUCCGGAACUGUCAGGCUAGAGUGCAUGAGAGGAAGGUAGAAUUCCCGGUGUAGCGGUGAAAUGCGUAGAGAUCGGGAGGAAUACCAGUGGCGAAGGCGGCCUUCUGGACUGACACUGACGCUGAGGUGCGAAAGCGUGGGUAGCAAACAGGAUUAGAUACCCCAGUAGUC